AUGCCAUAGUGAGGGCAUUUCCUAAACAAAUCUUUAUACCUUUCUCAUGCACUCAAAACUUUUUCAUCGUACAUUUUUUUUAAACAUGCAAAUCUCAUUCUUGGACUU
Cynara cardunculus var. scolymus (artichoke) is the source of this 108-nucleotide small nucleolar RNA. The record is from RefSeq and is a predicted model, not a curated record. NCBI's taxonomy places the organism in Eukaryota, Viridiplantae, Streptophyta, Magnoliopsida, Asterales, Asteraceae.